AGAGUUUGAUCCUGGCUCAGGAUGAACGCUAGCGGCAGGCUUAACACAUGCAAGUCGAGGGGUAUAGUAGCAAUACUAGAGACCGGCGCACGGGUGCGUAACGCGUAUGCAAUCUACCUUUUACAGAGGGAUAGCCCAGAGAAAUUUGGAUUAAUACCUCAUAGUAUAACGAGUUCGCAUGAAUUUGUUAUUAAAGUCACAACGGUAAAAGAUGAGCAUGCGUCCCAUUAGCUUGUUGGUAAGGUAACGGCUUACCAAGGCAACGAUGGGUAGGGGUCCUGAGAGGGAGAUCCCCCACACUGGUACUGAGACACGGACCAGACUCCUACGGGAGGCAGCAGUGAGGAAUAUUGGUCAAUGGGCGCAAGCCUGAACCAGCCAUGCCGCGUGCAGGAUGACGGUCCUAUGGAUUGUAAACUGCUUUUGCACAGGAAGAAACACUAUCUCGUGAGAUAGCUUGACGGUACUGUGAGAAUAAGGAUCGGCUAACUCCGUGCCAGCAGCCGCGGUAAUACGGAGGAUCCAAGCGUUAUCCGGAAUCAUUGGGUUUAAAGGGUCCGUAGGCGGUCUAAUAAGUCAGUGGUGAAAGCCCUACGCUCAACGUAGGAACGGCCAUUGAUACUGUUAGACUUGAAUUACUUGGAAGUAACUAGAAUAUGUAGUGUAGCGGUGAAAUGCUUAGAGAUUACAUGGAAUACCAAUUGCGAAGGCAGGUUACUACAAGUGGAUUGACGCUGAUGGACGAAAGCGUGGGUAGCGAACAGGAUUAGAUACCCUGGUAGUCCACGCCGUAAACGAUGGAUACUAGCUGUUCGGAGCAAUCUGAGUGGCUAAGCGAAAGUGAUAAGUAUCCCACCUGGGGAGUACGUUCGCAAGAAUGAAACUCAAAGGAAUUGACGG
RNAcentral lists this ribosomal RNA (900 nucleotides) under uncultured bacterium. RNAcentral describes it as "bacterial SSU rRNA". It matches the Rfam family "Bacterial small subunit ribosomal RNA", at positions 8 to 916 of the family's 1533-position model. The record is from RNAcentral.